This 131-nucleotide small RNA is filed under the name Vigna angularis var. angularis. RNAcentral describes it as "Non-protein coding transcript". The record is from RNAcentral. Lineage: Eukaryota; Viridiplantae; Streptophyta; Magnoliopsida; Fabales; Fabaceae.
UGGUUCCAUUGGUAGCCAAGGUACUCCUCACAACACCGACAACCCCAAAAAACAACAUGAAGGCCAUUGUUGAUGCAACAGAAGGAUUUGUGUACCUUGUAUGAACUUCUUUCAACCUUAUUUAUUAACUU